GAAUCAAGUCAAAAGAAAAAGCUUCUAACUUUAUUCUCAAGCAAUUUAUGUUUUUGAUUCU
RNAcentral lists this transfer RNA (61 nucleotides) under Curculionoidea sp. 5 KM-2017. RNAcentral's name for it is "tRNA-Ser". The record is from RNAcentral. Lineage: Eukaryota; Metazoa; Arthropoda; Insecta; Coleoptera. RNAcentral also lists the same sequence under 1 other name.